RNAcentral lists this ribosomal RNA (405 nucleotides) under uncultured prokaryote. Its description in RNAcentral is "bacterial SSU rRNA". It matches the Rfam family "Bacterial small subunit ribosomal RNA", at positions 355 to 774 of the family's 1533-position model. The record is from RNAcentral.
UGGGGAAUAUUGGGCAAUGGGCGAAAGCCUGACCCAGCAACGCCGCGUGAGGGAAGAAGGUUUUCGGAUUGUGAACCUCUGUCCUUGGGGACGAAGAAAGUGACGGUACCCAAGGAGGAAGCCCCGGCUAACUACGUGCCAGCAGCCGCGGUAAUACGGAGGGGGCGAGCGUUGUCCGGAAUUAAUGGGCGUAAAGGGUGCGUAGGCGGUUUCCUAAGUCGGAUGUGAAAGCCCCGGGCUUAACUCGGGGGGUGCAUUUGAAACUGGGAGGCUAGAGUGCAGGAGAGGGAAGCGGAAUUCCUAGUGUAGCGGUGAAAUGCGUAGAUAUUAGGAGGAACACCAGUGGCGAAGGCGGCUUUCUGGACUGUAACUGACGCUGAGGCACGAAAGCGUGGGGAGCAAACA